CCACAAAAAUUUCUACAAUAGGAUGCAAAGAUGUAUGUAAGUCAGAGCUAAACCAUGAAAGGAAAUUAAAGUACGGAUAAGAAUCUGGAACUCGAUUCUUUGAAGAAGGAAUUGCUAGUAAUCGUCUAUCAGCAUGAGACGGUGAAACGACCAUCUGUGAUGUACUAACUACUCGUCAAGCGCAAAAAUUUUUAGGAAAUAUCAAGUAUAUACGUCUAUUUCUUAGAGAUUUGUGUUAAG
Molecule: ribosomal RNA, 240 nt
Filed under: Pneumocystis sp.
Lineage: Eukaryota; Fungi; Ascomycota; Pneumocystomycetes; Pneumocystales; Pneumocystaceae
Description: partial small subunit ribosomal RNA
Rfam family: Bacterial small subunit ribosomal RNA
Source: RNAcentral